GAACCGUGCAAACGUUGUUCGGAAUCACUGGGCUUAAAGGGCGCGUAGGCGGGCCGGCCAGUCUGUGGUGAAAUCCCCCGGCUCAACCGGGGAACUGCCGUGGAUACUGCCGGCCUCGAGGAGGGUAGGGGCGUCUGGAACUGCCGGUGGAGCGGUGAAAUGCGUUGAUAUCGGCAGGAACUCCGGUGGCGAAGGCGAGACGCUGGACCCUUUCUGACGCUGAUGCGCGAAAGCCAGGGGAGCAAACGGGAUUAGAUACCCCGGUAGUCCUGGCCCUAAACGAUGAGGACUAGAUAGCGAGGGAGACAUGCCCCCGCUGUCGGAGCAAAAGUAUUAAGUCCUCCGCCUGGGGAGUAUGGUCGCAAGGCUGAA
This 372-nucleotide ribosomal RNA is filed under the name uncultured bacterium. RNAcentral describes it as "bacterial SSU rRNA". It matches the Rfam family "Bacterial small subunit ribosomal RNA", at positions 527 to 898 of the family's 1533-position model. The record is from RNAcentral.